This 486-nucleotide ribosomal RNA is filed under the name uncultured bacterium. RNAcentral's name for it is "partial 16S ribosomal RNA". It matches the Rfam family "Bacterial small subunit ribosomal RNA", at positions 28 to 507 of the family's 1533-position model. The record is from RNAcentral.
GAUGAACGCUGGCGGCGUGCUUAACACAUGCAAGUCGAACGGAAAGGCCCAAGCUUGCUUGGGUACUCGAGUGGCGAACGGGGGAGUAACACGUGGGUGAUCUGCCCUUCACUUCGGGAUAAGCCUGGGAAACUGGGUCUAAUACCGGGUAGGACGAUGGUUUGGAUGCCAUUGUGGAAAGAUUUUUCGGUGUGGUGUGAGCUCGCGACCUAUCAGCUUGUUGGUGGGGUAAUGGCUUACCAAGGCGUCGACGGGUAGCCGGUCGGAGAGGGUGAUCGGCCACACUGGAACUGAGAGACGGUCCAGACUCCUACGGGAGGCAGCAGUAGGGAAUCUGCCGCAAUGGGCGAAAGCCUAACGGAGCAACGCGGCGUGAGUGAUGAAGGUCUUCGGAUCGUAAAACUCGGUUAUGAGGGAAGAACAAAUGUGUAAGUAACUAUGCACGUCGUGACGGUACCUAAUCAGAAAGCCACGGCUAACUACGUG